This is a long non-coding RNA of Carassius auratus (goldfish), 717 nucleotides long. RefSeq lists it as uncharacterized. The transcript has 5 exons. Lineage: Eukaryota; Metazoa; Chordata; Actinopteri; Cypriniformes; Cyprinidae. The record is from RefSeq and is a predicted model, not a curated record.
CUGGUGGUGGAUGAGGAGAUACCCCCUGACUAUCGGUUAAAGAUGGAGUGAAUGUGAAAGGCUACACAGCUUGGUCAUUGCUUGACAAGUUUGAAUGGGACGAGGGCUAGUCCGAAAGAUUUGGCCUGUACUAUGUGGACUUUAUUGAAAGCUGGAAAAGAAAGGCACUGGAAACAUGCACCUCAAGCAAACAGCUCCUUGCGGCAGCUAGAAGAAAAUCCAAGGAAAAUAAGGAACAUGCAGAUAUGCCAAAGAUCCACAUAUCAGCCACAUGAAGAUGGUCAUUCUCCUCACUGCAGUCUCUCAUGUUCCUGCUUAGAGCACGAAUAUAAAAACAGACUGCUUUACAUUUACACAACUAUAUAUAUUUUUUCACAUCGCAUGUGUCCGAAAAUUUCUUUUUUAUUAAUUAUUAUUAAUAAUGAUGACAUGCUGAGACUUGUUUACAAUGUAAUGUCAAAUAAAACGGUCCACAAACGUACAUCUGUGUUCAUGAAUUGUUGGACCAUCCAAACAUCUCUCAACAAAUUACUCAGAGGUUCAGUUGAGGUUUGGAUGUUUGAUUAUGAGGUGAGAAAAACAAAGCUUCUUUUUGAAAACCCUAUUAACAAUGGCAUAUGUGGCAAACAGACAAUCAAAUAAAUAUUAUAAUAAAUGUGUUUGUGAAACCUUUUGGGACUUACAAUACAAUACUCAACGUUAUAUACAUACAUACAU